GAUGAACGCUAGCGGCAGGCUUAAUACAUGCAAGUCGAGGGGCAGCAGGGGUGUAGCAAUACACUCGCUGGCGACCGGCAAACGGGUGCGGAACACGUACGCAACUUACCCAAAACUGGGGAAUAGCCCGGGGAAACCCGGAUUAAUACCUCGUAACAUAAUGGAGUGGCAUCACUUUAUUAUUAUAGCUCCGGCGGUUUUGGAUGGGCGUGCGCCUGAUUAGGUAGUUGGCGGGGUAACGGCCCACCAAGCCUACGAUCAGUAACUGGUGUGAGAGCACGACCAGUCACACGGGCACUGAGACACGGGCCCGACUCCUACGGGAGGCAGCAGUAAGGAAUAUUGGUCAAUGGGACGCAAGUCUGAAACCAGCCCAUGCCGCGUGAAGGAUGAAGGUCCU
Molecule: ribosomal RNA, 400 nt
Filed under: uncultured bacterium
Lineage: Bacteria
Description: bacterial SSU rRNA
Rfam family: Bacterial small subunit ribosomal RNA
Source: RNAcentral